CCUGUCGGUGCGCACCGGGGCACAAAUUACAGACAGUCCGGUCUCAACUGCUAGAGAGCGUGAGAAAUAGAAAAUUAUUUGUAUCGCAAAUUCGGUGGCCAGGAUUCCAUCCUACUUAUUUGAAGAGCCUGAUGCCAGUGGGGAAGGAAGGAGCCGCCUUUAUCAGCCAGCCGCCAGCCCCGCGGCUUCCCUGCCCGGGAGGGAGCGGCUCCGGCUCGGAAGCUGAACCCCGUGCAAGGAUCCCCGAGCCAGCGGCUCGGGAGGGACAGAGCCGCCGGACGCCGAGCGGCCCUUGCUCGCCUCUGACUCGCUCCCACAGGCUCUGAGGCUGAGGCCAGCGCUCGCCGCCGGCUGUAGCCGAGCUCUGGCACGAGCGACCCUGCCCGGCGGGCCCGGCUGGGCUGGCAGCCAAAGGCACGAACAAACGCCGCCUGCUCUCCCACACUUAGAGAAGGAGCGGUACCGGUGGUCCGUGUAGCCCUGUCACAGCUAUAGAUCAUGAUCUUUAAUCCCCUUAAGGCUCAUAACAGAGUAGAACCCAAAACAUAACUUAUUCCUGACUGAAGGGCCACUGCCCCUCCACAGACUGACCACCACGGAGCAAUUGCUGUGUACUCAAGGUGGCCUAGUUAACUAGAGUUCAAUUAAUUACGUACAUAUCGUCAGGACACAAACAGCAUUAGAAUACUUCCUCUUCUUACCAUCUCAAAUGUUUCCUAUGAUAUACGUUUUAUAUAAAAGGUGAAGACAAAACCAGUUCUAAAAACUAAUGCAGAAAACAUUGUCUUACAACACAGAAAAUCUAUUAUGACUAUUUCACAGAGAUACUUUUAAAAACAGAUUACAUGAUAAAUUAUACUAAAACAAAUGAUAGACAAUCCUAAAUCCCAGUCCAGGAAUAUUCAGUGAAAGAAAUAAAUUUACAGGAUGACAAACUUUAACCAAUAGAGGAGAUUUUUUUUUUUUCCUCUUCACUUAAUAAGAUAUUCAUGAAAACACUUUACACCACUUUCUAGACACUUCUUACCUUUCUGCCUUUUUAAAUUGAGAUUAUGGGGUUUUUUCUUUAGAUAUUUUUCUUCAUCAUUUUUAAGAUGGGAAAAAGGAAAAAAGUUUCACAGGUAAAAACUUCAGUGAAGGUAUGCUGAUUUUUUCUGUGUAAGGGUCUGAUCUACACAGCAUCAAACUACAAUGAAAAUAUUGUCAAAUCCACCCAGCUUGUACUUUGGUAGAAAUUAACAGGAAAUUAAAACAUUGUAUUUUCCAUCAAAAUUUAUUGGAAGUUAAAAACUCAUAGCUGGCUACACUGAAUCUAAAAAUUACUGUACAAUUCCUCAGAGAGAAUAGAAGGAAAUAGAACAGAAAAAAAGAUGCACCAAUAUAAUCCAGUCUCUGCCUUUAGACCAGCUGGUUCAGUUUUGCAAAUACAAUACUUUUGCACUGUGCUAGGAAGCUAGACAUAAAAACUUGAGCUUCUACAGCAUAAAGUUAUUCUUAGUCUACACUGCUUAAUAAAGAAACAAAUGUUUCUGGUCGUUA
Molecule: long non-coding RNA, 1539 nt
Organism: Vidua macroura (Pin-tailed whydah)
Lineage: Eukaryota; Metazoa; Chordata; Aves; Passeriformes; Viduidae
Exons: 2
Source: RefSeq, a predicted model, not a curated record